ACGGGAGGCAGCAGUGGGGAAUAUUGCACAAUGGGCGAAAGCCUGAUGCAGCGACGCCGCGUGAGGGAUGACGGCCUUCGGGUUGUAAACCUCUUUCAGCAGGGAAGAAGCCACAAGUGACGGUACCUGCAGAAGAAGCGCCGGCUAACUACGUGCCAGCAGCCGCGGUAAUACGUAGGGCGCAAGCGUUGUCCGGAAUUAUUGGGCGUAAAGAGCUCGUAGGCGGUUUGUCGCGUCUGCUGUGAAAGCCCGGGGCUUAACCCCGGGUGUGCAGUGGGUACGGGCAGACUAGAGUGCAGUAGGGGAGACUGGAAUUCCUGGUGUAGCGGUGGAAUGCGCAGAUAUCAGGAGGAACACCGAUGGCGAAGGCAGGUCUCUGGGCUGUUACUGACGCUGAGGAGCGAAAGCAUGGGGAGCGAACAGGAUUAGAUACCCUGGUAGUCCAUGCCGUAAACGUUGGGCACUAGGUGUGGGGGACAUUCCACGUUUUCCGCGCCGUAGCUAACGCAUUAAGUGCCCCGCCUGGGGAGUACGGCCGCAAGGCUAAAACUCAAAGGAAUUGACGGGGGCCCGCACAAGCGGCGGAGCAUGCGGAUUAAUUCGAUGCAACGCGAAGAACCUUACCAAGGCUUGACAUAUACCGGAUCGUUCCAGAGAUGGUUCUUCCCCUUUGGGGUCGGUAUACAGGUGGUGCAUGGUUGUCGUCAGCUCGUGUCGUGAGAUGUUGGGUUAAGUCCCGCAACGAGCGCAACCCUCGUUCCAUGUUGCCAGCACGUGAUGGUGGGGACUCAUGGGAGACUGCCGGGGUCAACUCGGAGGAAGGUGGGGAUGACGUCAAAUCAUCAUGCCCCUUAUGUCUUGGGCUUCACGCAUGCUACAAUGGCCGGUACAAAGGGUUGCGAUACUGUGAGGUGGAGCUAAUCCCAAAAAGCCGGUCUCAGUUCGGAUUGAGGUCUGCAACUCGACCUCAUGAAGUCGGAGUCGCUAGUAAUCGCAGAUCAGCAACGCUGCGGUGAAUACGUUCCCGGGCCUUGUACACACCGCCCGUCAAGUCACGAAAGUCGGUAACACCCGAAGCCGGUGGCCCAACCCUUGUGGAGG
Molecule: ribosomal RNA, 1101 nt
Filed under: Actinomycetes bacterium
Lineage: Bacteria; Bacillati; Actinomycetota; Actinomycetes
Description: bacterial SSU rRNA
Rfam family: Bacterial small subunit ribosomal RNA
Source: RNAcentral